Molecule: long non-coding RNA, 2520 nt
Organism: Pan troglodytes (chimpanzee)
Lineage: Eukaryota; Metazoa; Chordata; Mammalia; Primates; Hominidae
Exons: 4
Source: RefSeq, a predicted model, not a curated record
AGGCGCACGCGCCGUGGCGCCCCCGGGCGUAACCCCAGCUGCUGUGACGGGCCAGGGCUCGCAGCUCGCCUGCUAGAGUUUGUGGCGCGCCCUCGGGAUCAGGGCACUGGGGUUUGAAGGGGCUGCAGCGUGGGAAGCCUUCAAUUUUUUUUUUUUUUUUGUAAGCUGCGUGUGCUCAGAUUGAGGAAGCAGUUUUGUCACACAUGUUCAACACGUUCCACGCUGGUCACAAGCUAGCAAGGAUGAAACUAAUGGAAUAACAUCAACUAAGCCUUGCUGCUUCUCAGGCCCUGAGGAAUGGAGUGUACUAAUUAUGUACUCUGAAGCUAUAGGUGAGGAAACCUAGGCUCAAGUUGACACUCAAGCUCACCUUGCAAGAUAGUGGCAGAGCUGAUAAGAUCUCCUUCCUCUACCUUUAGUUUGCUGCUUCUAAUCUAAUGGACUUGGGAGAAGCCACUUACGAGAAUGGUAUAUAAGCCAAGAGCAAAUGAACUGAAGUCUGAGGGGCUGGCUAUCCAAACAACAAAAGAUGGAGCAUCAGAUCAUUCACUGAAGAGUUUCUUGCUCUUACAAGGUCUUUGCAAUGAUUUGAGAGAGGAAGUUGCUAUAUAAUGCUAUCUGGAUGAGUUCUUUGUAUUUUUACUCUGCAUUUUAUUAUUUAGUAUUUAUUCUGUGUUUUGGUUAUAUCACAAUAUUUUGGUAGUUUGUAAUAGAACUUCAAAAAUUCAGGUUUAUUUAUAAGGCAUAUUUUAAGAUGUCUAAUUUUCACAUAUGGAAAAUUUGAGGAAGAUAUUUGCUCAAAGCUACACAUCAUAUUUCAAGCACAGACAAGACUAGAAUUCAGACUUCCUGACCGUUAGGACUAUUCAAACAUUCAUAAUCCAUCAUCCAUCUAGGAGUUUCAGUAAAUAGGCCAUAGUCUUUAAGCUGUAGAAAAUUUUAUUUCUAAGGCCUUCAAAAUAGAUUCGUGAGGUACAAAAUGUUGCAUUCCAUUCUUUAUAAAGUGAUUUGAUUUGACCAUCCUCCCUGGUGAAAUAUUCUAUCUUUAUCAUUCUUGUGGGCCCCUGUUGGGUCUUGAGUAAUCAAAGGUAGGUACAAUGCCUUGGCUGGUGGUCCUCUCUGAUCAUUAGCCUUCUCUCCAAGCAGGCUGCAUCUCACUGUGCAUUUGCUCUUUUUCCAUUGUUACUUUAGGUUUGAGGGUCAUUGUUGUUUUCAUACCACAGUUGAGAAAUAACAAUCUUUACAAGCUUUCCAAUAGUGCCAUCUGUAAAUUUUCAAAGGUACUAUUUUUCUCAAAGGUCUUACAUCCCUUGUUUUUUGCUCCUCUAGGACUUAUAGACCUGUCUCCUCUCCCCAAGUCAGUGGGAAAUUCUUUUUCUUGUUUAUAAAGACAACGUUCUCCUUUGCUUCUUUCUAGACACUCUCCUUGUUUCUGUAAUUCCCCUUUGCACUUUUGCUUUCUUUGUCAACUCUGUUUGUUCUCCUAUGGGAUAGAUUUUAGAAACAGGGACAGAAAGUCUGGCAGGCUAAUUCUGCUUUUUCUUCUUUUACUGAGCACAUCUCACCUCUCCUCCACCCCAGAUUUUGAAAAGUUAACUGGAUAACUGCUUGAAUGUGAUGUGGGAAUGUAAGAAAUGUGUAUAAACACUGGUUGCUUCAAGGAGGAGGGAUUAAGGAUGAGACAGAAAAAGAUCAUUAAUAUUUUCUUUAUUCUCCUUUGUGAUUCUUGAUCUUUCAUAAUUAGCUUAUAUUAUCUUUUAAAUUCAAAACUCUAAUAAAGAAUUGGUUGAGUUUGGAAAAUAGACUAGAGCUUUGCUAAAAUCACUUUUUAGUUCUUUUAGUUCCAGUAGUGUUUUUUGUAGGCUGCAGUCUGUUUUCUGAACCGCAGUCUUACUUGCAUAUAUUAGCAACAAACAAAUGGAAAUUGAAAUGCGUAGUUCACUCACAAUGGCAUAGAAAUAAAAUAUUUAGAAAUAAGAAAACUGAGGGAAGGGCAGUCUUUUCAACAAAUGAUAUAAAAAAACUCAACCAUUACCUUACACAUUCAUAAAUAUUAACUUACAACAGAACCUAUAAUUAAAUGUAAGAGCUAAAACUUUAAAGUACCUAGAAGAAGAUAUCAGAGAGAAUCUUUGUGACUCUGAGUUAGACAAAGCAUUCUUAGAUAGGAUACAGAAAUAUGAAAGAAAAAAUUGAUGUUAGACUUCAUCAAAAUUGUAAAAUUUUUUAUGAUUUUUGAACAACACUGUUAAAAACAUGAAAAGAUUAGCUAUAGAAUGGGAAGAACUAUUUAUAAAAUACAUAUUUGAUAAAGGACUUAUAUCCAGAAUAUAUAAAGAACUCUUACAACUCAAUAGUAAGAAGACAAAUCCUUGAUUAAAAAAAAAUCAAUAGACAAUUCAAUAGACAAGAUGUAUGAAUGGUCAGAAAACACACACAAAAAAUGCUUAACAUCAUUAGUCAUCAGGGAAAUGCAAAUUAAAACCCAUUAAAAUUGAGAUAUGCCUACACAACCACUAG